CAGCCGCCGCGGUAAUACGAAGGGGGCUAGCGUUGUUCGGAAUUACUGGGCGUAAAGCGCACGUAGGCGGAUAUUUAAGUCAGGGGUGAAAUCCCAGAGCUCAACUCUGGAACUGCCUUUGAUACUGGGUAUCUUGAGUAUGGAAGAGGUGAGUGGAACUGCGAGUGUAGAGGUGAAAUUCGUAGAUAUUCGCAAGAACACCAGUGGCGAAGGCGGCUCACUGGCCCGAUACUGACGCUGAGGCACGAAAGCGUGGGGAGCAAACAGGAUUAGAUACCCCCGUAGUCCCUGUCUCUUAUAC
This 301-nucleotide ribosomal RNA is filed under the name uncultured bacterium. RNAcentral describes it as "partial 16S ribosomal RNA". It matches the Rfam family "Bacterial small subunit ribosomal RNA", at positions 509 to 807 of the family's 1533-position model. The record is from RNAcentral.